This is a long non-coding RNA of Uloborus diversus, 746 nucleotides long. RefSeq lists it as uncharacterized. The record is from RefSeq and is a predicted model, not a curated record. The transcript has 2 exons. NCBI's taxonomy places the organism in Eukaryota, Metazoa, Arthropoda, Arachnida, Araneae, Uloboridae.
AUUGUGAAAAGACCGGGGUGGAUCAUCCGAACGGUGAAUAAACUGACUGUUGAAAAUAGAGAGUUUACUGUAGUUUAAAUUGCACCUUACCAAAACAGAAUUAAAAAUCAAAAAAUUAAUCUAUGAUGCAAUUAAUUACUAACUGUAAAAGAAGGCACAAACAUGAGUUUUGCAUAGUUAAUCAGAUAAAAAUUUGAAUUAUUUGAAAAAAUUCAGGAUUUUUUACUUUAAAAAUUGUGUAUCUAAUACAAGAUUUUUAAACAUUGUACAGGUUUAAUAAUUAAAAAAGCAGUUCACAGUGAGAUCUUCAAAUUUGAUAGUUCAACUUCUCUUUUCUCAUAGGAGAUAUAUAUGAAGAAACAACGCCUGACAUUGAAAAACUUGGGCUAGAAUGUGAAUGUGUUGGUGGUGGCCGCAUACGUCAUAAUGCACAAGAAAAAACUAUUCAUGUUUAUGGGUAUUCUCAGGGUUAUGGAAGAGCAGAUCAUCUAAUUACCUGCAAGCUAUUGAAGGACUGUUAUCCAGAUUAUGUAAAAAUAGAUUUUUCAAAUGAUGGGUAUUAAUCGCAAACAGCAUUUCUUAAAACAAUUCAGUGUGGUUUAUUUCAACUGCGUUUAUUUUUUUCAAAGCAGCUUCAUAGUAUUGGUGGUUUUAAUAAACUGUAAAAAGUAAUACAACACUGCAAAAAAUUGCAUUUUAAAAUUUUAUGUUUCUGUUGAAAAUAAAAAUUAAAAAAAUUCAAUUUC